RNAcentral lists this ribosomal RNA (253 nucleotides) under uncultured bacterium. RNAcentral describes it as "partial 16S ribosomal RNA". It matches the Rfam family "Bacterial small subunit ribosomal RNA", at positions 524 to 776 of the family's 1533-position model. The record is from RNAcentral.
GACGGAGGGUGCAAGCGUUGUUCGGAAUUACUGGGCGUAAAGCGCGCGUAGGCGGACCUGCAAGUCGGGAGUGAAAGCCCGAGGCUCAACCUCGGAACUGCCUUCGAUACUGCGGGUCUCGAGUCCGGGAGAGGUGAGUGGAAUUCCUAGUGUAGAGGUGAAAUUCGUAGAUAUUAGGAAGAACACCAGUGGCGAAGGCGGCUCACUGGCCCGGUACUGACGCUGAGGCGCGAAAGCGUGGGGAGCAAACAGG